This is a non-coding RNA of Oryza punctata, 200 nucleotides long. Lineage: Eukaryota; Viridiplantae; Streptophyta; Magnoliopsida; Poales; Poaceae. The record is from Rfam.
AAAUAACGCAGUUUGCAUUGUUGUGCCUAAUGUUUGACAGUUCAUUUUAUUUUAAAAAAAUAAGAUUGGUAUUUUUAUUGUUAUUAUAUGGUAAAACAUGAAUACUUUAAGUGUGACUAAUUUUUGUUAAAUUUUUCAUAAAAUUUCAAAUAAAAGAGAUGGUCAAACGUUGGACACGGAAACCCACGAUUGCACUUAAA